AGAUGAUGCCUAUGAUCAAGAGGUGUUUCCCUUACUACUGCAACAUUUUCACUACGACUUGUGACCAGAAUGCAGCUUUGUUUACUUUCAUUCAUUCCCAGCAAACUAUCCCUUAAGUCCUCCCAAUUUUUAAUAUCCUCAUCCCACAGAUCAUCAAGUACGAGGAGUUUUGCUAAAGUGGUUUCGCCCAAACCGGCCAUGCCUACUAUGGAUGCUAUCGACAAACUUUGGCGAGUGGUCGAACCAAUGAAGAGAUCAACUACUUUUAGGGCAUCAGCUUCCCUUCCAACAACUCGUGAUGAGUCGCCAAAGGAGUGGGUGCCUCCUACUCUACUAGACACUGGAGACGAAAUUUGAAGUCUUUGUUGGAGUCCAAAGUCAGUGGCCUGACGGUUAAUAUCCUUAAUGGAUAGGUUAAUAUUCUUUACCUUUUUAGCCAUCUUUAGAGUAAAUGCCAUGGGACUCUUGGAAAGGGAGAAGAAAUUGCAGACCUUUUUACUCAUUUGGUUGUCCACCUUCCUGCGGACAUGUUCGUAAGAGCUCAUCCAACUCAUCAUCCUCCUCAUAAGCGAUAUCACUAAGCUGCUCCAACCAGACUUUGACAGGCUCAUCAACUUGCCCCCUCCCUGCAUCUUGCUAGAAAGCUCGAGUGAGAGCGAAUGAGGAACGAAGCUUGUUCAGCUUGUCCUUGAAAUACCAGCACAAAGUGUUUUUAUUGGUGUGGCCAAAAACAGCACCGAAAGGAACAACAAUGGAUGAUAUCUUCAGGAUAAUCAAAUACGAGGAAAAAGACAGUGACACAUAAAAUUUGGAUUAGUCUCUGUUUGUAAAGUAAACAAAGAAAAGAGAAGUUAUAGUUUCAGUUACGGUUUUUAUUUUCAGAAACACAA
Long non-coding RNA from Gossypium raimondii (Peruvian cotton), 890 nucleotides. RefSeq lists it as uncharacterized. NCBI's taxonomy places the organism in Eukaryota, Viridiplantae, Streptophyta, Magnoliopsida, Malvales, Malvaceae. The record is from RefSeq and is a predicted model, not a curated record. The transcript has 2 exons.